RNAcentral lists this unclassified non-coding RNA (222 nucleotides) under Hevea brasiliensis (rubber tree). Lineage: Eukaryota; Viridiplantae; Streptophyta; Magnoliopsida; Malpighiales; Euphorbiaceae. The record is from RNAcentral.
GCUUUUUCCAUUUAAAGCACAGAAAAAGUGCCAAAAAGAAAUUUUCAAGGCCAAUGUUGGAAGAUUUUGAAAUUUAUUUAGAUGAAGAUAUUAAUAGAAAUGAAUCUUAUUUUGGAAAUGAGGAUGAAAGUGUUGAGACUUUGAUGGGAAGUGUAGUGAAGAUCUCUAAGUUAUGGCUAUUAAUUUGAAUGCUAAAAUCUUUUGGAUGUUUGAUGAUUUCUU